CAGGCUGGUCGGGCAGUCGCGGUCCUGCGUUGUCGGGAUCGAGGAAAGUCCGCACUCCAUAGAGCACGGCGUCGGAUAGCAACCGGGGCGGGGAAACCGCCGAGAGGCGUGAACCUGCCGGAAAAGGGCCACAGAAACAAACAGCCCUUCCAUCCUUUUGGGUGAAGUGGUGAUGGUGAAAAGGUGGUGUAAGAGACCACCGGCGUUUGCCGUAAUGCAGAUGGCCAGGUAACCCCCGCCGGGAGCAAGGCCAAGCAGGGGCGAAAUCGUCUGUGGACGAUGGGAGACUGCUCGUCUCCGCAUGUGCUCUUCCCUCUUGUGGGAAGAGCCAGCCCCGGGUAGGCUGCACCGAGCAGCGCGGCGACGCGCUGCCCAGAGAGAUGACUGCACAGAUGGAUUACCUAGGGGCAUCCAUUGGACAGAAUGCGGCUUAUAGACCAGCCUGAGUU
This 449-nucleotide RNase P RNA is filed under the name Anaerolineales bacterium. RNAcentral describes it as "RNase P RNA component class A". It matches the Rfam family "Bacterial RNase P class A". Rfam says of the family: Ribonuclease P (RNase P) is a ubiquitous endoribonuclease, found in archaea, bacteria and eukarya as well as chloroplasts and mitochondria. Its best characterised activity is the generation of mature 5'-ends of tRNAs by cleaving the 5'-leader elements of precursor-tRNAs. The record is from RNAcentral. Lineage: Bacteria; Bacillati; Chloroflexota; Anaerolineae; Anaerolineales.